RNAcentral lists this ribosomal RNA (1224 nucleotides) under uncultured fungus. RNAcentral's name for it is "eukaryotic LSU rRNA". The stretch from base 591 to 1224 matches the Rfam family "Eukaryotic large subunit ribosomal RNA", at positions 1 to 649 of the family's 3401-position model. The record is from RNAcentral. Lineage: Eukaryota; Fungi.
AAGUCGUAACAAGGUUUCCGUAGGUGAACCUGCGGAAGGAUCAUUAUUAUAACAAACUCUUUGCGAAAGCGAAGUUUUAAACCCUUUGUGAACCAAAAACCUUUUUAGCUUCGGUAGCCUUGUAGCAAUGUUGCAGUUGUUGCAUGUUAGCCUGCCGGUGGCACCCCAAUCAAAACUAUUAUUUAAAAUCUAGUCUGAAUAUAAAUUUUCGAAUGAAAAUCAAAACUUUCAACAACGGAUCUCUUGGUUCUCGCAUCGAUGAAGAACGCAGCGAAACGCGAUAGUUAAUGUGAAUUGCAGAAUUCAGUGAAUCAUCGAGUCUUUGAACGCACAUUGCGCCCCUUGGUAUUCCGAAGGGCAUGUCUGUUUGAGCGUCAUUACGACACUUCGUUAAAUGGUUUUGUACCAGUAAACGGUUAUGGAUCUGGCUGGUGUUCUGGUUGAAUGACCAGCUUCACGUCAGAUUCUAAAUUACAUGUGUGAAUGCUCUGCUAGCCGGACCUUGAAAAACUUUACGUAGUAGUAAUCACAAACCGUUCAGUUGAUUAAGGGACGCAUGGCCUGAAAAAUAAUGUCUACCUCUCUAGGUUUGACCUCAGAUCAGACAAGGAUACCCGCUGAACUUAAGCAUAUCAAUAAGCGGAGGAAAAGAAACCAACAGGGAUUGCCUCAGUAACGGCGAGUGAAGCGGCAACAGCUCAAAUUUGAAAUCUGAAGCUUUUAGUUUCCGAGUUGUAAUUUGAAGAGGAUGUUUCGGUUGUAACUGUGGCCUAAGUUCCUUGGAACAGGACGUCGUAGAGGGUGAGAAUCCCGUACACGGCUAACAGUUUACCUCCAUGUGUAACUCCUUCGAAGAGUCGAGUUGUUUGGGAAUGCAGCUCAAAAUGGGUGGUAAAUUUCAUCUAAAGCUAAAUACUGGCGAGAGACCGAUAGCGCACAAGUAGAGUGAUCGAAAGAUGAAAAGCACUUUGAAAAGAGAGUUAAACAGUACGUGAAAUUGUUGAAAGGGAAGCGUUUGCAAUUAGACUUGCUUUCGGUUGAUCAACGUUCCUUUUGGUUCGUGCACUCUGCCGUUCGCAGGCCAGCAUCGGUUAGGGCGGUGGGACAAAGACUCUGAGAAUGUGGCUUUCUUCGGGAAGUGUUAUAGCUCAGUGUGUAAUGCCACCAGUCCUGACUGAGGUCCGCGCUUUUGCUAGGAUGCUGGCAUAAUAGUUGUAAACGACC